CUACGGGAUGCUCCAGUCGAGAAUCUUCCGCAAUGGACGAAAGUCUGACGGAGCGACGCCGCGUGCGGGAUGAAGGCCUUCGGGUUGUAAACCGCUGUCAGUGGGGAGGAAAUGCAUCAGGGUUCUCCCUGGUGUUUGACCGAUCCGCAGAGGAAGCGCAGGCUAAGUUCGUGCCAGCAGCCGCGGUAACACGAACUGCGCGACGUUAUUCGGAAUCACUGGGCUUAAAGAGUUCGUAGGCGGCCUUUCAAGUCGGGUGUGAAAUCCCUCGGCUCAACCGAGGAAUUGCGCCUGAUACUGUUGGGCUUGAGGGGGAUAGGGGUGAGCGGAACUGAUGGUGGAGCGGUGAAAUGCGUUGAUAUCAUCAGGAACACCGGUGGCGAAGGCGGCUCACUGGAUCUCUUCUGACGCUGAGGAACGAAAGCUAGGGGAGCGAACGGGAUUAGAUACCCUUGUAGUC
Molecule: ribosomal RNA, 460 nt
Filed under: uncultured bacterium
Lineage: Bacteria
Description: partial 16S ribosomal RNA
Rfam family: Bacterial small subunit ribosomal RNA
Source: RNAcentral